UAUUUCAUGUUUGUGAUUAAAAAAAAAAAAAAAAAAAAAAAAAAAAAAAAAAAAAAAAAAGAAAAGAUUGUAUACAAAGAAAAUAAAAAGUUUUUAAAGUUUCAGUUUAAGGGUGUGGUUGGAGGUGCUAGAAGAAUUGCUGGAAAGAUUGAGUUCUUAUAAAUCUAAACAAAAGAAUUGCUUGCAAUGUAGCUUGGAACUUGUGUUUUCCUAUUCUUUCAUUUCAAUAACCCUCUCCCUAAACCUCAUUACAUCCAAUAAAAGUCCUCUUGAUUUAAGUUUUGCAAUUAUGAUUGUGGAGAAGUGAUCUUUAUGCAAGCUUAUGGUAGAAAUUUCACAUUUGAUUCUUUGAGCGAAACACAUUAAAACUAAACACAUAUGUGAUUGAGUGUAUAUCCCGUGAGAAGGUUACUAGUUUGCAUAUGAUGAUUUUAAAAAUAAAAACUUGAAAUUGCAUUAGCAUGGCUAUCUCACACACUACACUUCAAGGAUGAUUUAAAGAUUACUGCUAAUAUUUGAAUAAGGAAG
This 528-nucleotide long non-coding RNA is filed under the name Malus domestica (apple). RNAcentral describes it as "long non-coding RNA (MDOM_LNC013256)". The record is from RNAcentral. Lineage: Eukaryota; Viridiplantae; Streptophyta; Magnoliopsida; Rosales; Rosaceae.